RNAcentral lists this long non-coding RNA (384 nucleotides) under Ananas comosus (pineapple). RNAcentral's name for it is "long non-coding RNA (ACOM_LNC023869)". The record is from RNAcentral. Lineage: Eukaryota; Viridiplantae; Streptophyta; Magnoliopsida; Poales; Bromeliaceae.
UAAUGCCUAAUAAUUUCAUAAAUUUGGUUAAUCAAUUAAUUUUCUAAAUUAGUACUAAUUAAUGCAUAAAUUUAGGACCUCAAUUAAAAAUUUCUUUAAAUAUUGUAUUAUUUAAUUACCAAACUAACCUUGAAUAAAAUAAUCCUUUUACUUGCUAAGUAUUAAAGUUACAUUUUUACCCUCUAUUAAUCAACGGUUAAAAUCUUUUUUAUUUUUUUUUUUAAAAAGUACCGAAUCAUUUCUCUGCUUUUAUAUAUAGAGAGAGAUAGUUCGGCUCGCAUGUUUUUAAAAGUACAAAAAUAUUUAUAUUUGUAAUUUUAGUUAUCGAAUCACCUUAAGAUUUGUACAUUAUUAUUAACUGUGUAUCUCGUUAAAUUCUUUCAU